Potamilus streckersoni is the source of this 73-nucleotide non-coding RNA. The record is from the annotation of a GenBank genome assembly. NCBI's taxonomy places the organism in Eukaryota, Metazoa, Mollusca, Bivalvia, Unionida, Unionidae.
GUUCCGAUGGCUAAGUGGUUACAACGUCCGCCUCGGACGCGGGAGGUCUUGGGUUCUAACUCCGGAUGAGCCA